Molecule: long non-coding RNA, 2217 nt
Organism: Carassius gibelio (silver crucian carp)
Lineage: Eukaryota; Metazoa; Chordata; Actinopteri; Cypriniformes; Cyprinidae
Exons: 3
Source: RefSeq, a predicted model, not a curated record
GACAAGUAUAUCAAAUUCCAGAGCAUGCGCUUUUUACAUAACUCUAAAUAGCUGACUUCCUGUUGGGCGGAGCCUAUGACAUGCAAUAUGAAAGUUGUUCGGCACGAUGAGAUCUAUAUGUGUACUGAGUUUCAUAUUAAUACGUGCAAGUAUGUGUGAGCUAUACAUCAAUAUUUAUGACUGUGUUCCAGGGGGCGCCGUAGAGCCCCUGUGCCACGCCCGGGUCCCAACCUCUGCAGGCUCCUAAAGGCCACAGAUCCAAAGGUGUGUGCAAAUUUUCAAGAGUUUUUGAGUAUGUUAAGGACUCCAAAAGCCCCCACAACUUUGACGACAAAUAUGAAUAAUAAAUCCUAAAUAGCCAACUUCCUGUUGGGCGGAGCCUAUGAUAUGCAAUACGAAAGUUGUUUGUAUUGAUGAGUUCUAUAUGUGUACCGAGUUUCGUAUGUCUACGUACAAGUAUGUAUGAUAUAUGGCCCUCCAUAUUCCAGGGGGCGCUGUAGAGCCCCUGUGCCACGCCCGUGUAUCAGUCUCUGCCCGGCCCUAAUGGCCGCAGGUUCCAAUGUGUGUGCCAAUUUUCAAGACUUUUUAAGCAUGUUAAGGGCCCCAAAAGCCCCCGUAACGUUAGAAAAAAAAAAUAAUAAUAAUAAUAAUAAUAAUAAUAAAAAAUAAUCCUAAGGAAAACAAUAGGGCUCUCGCCCUCCAGGCUUGAGCCCUAAUAAUAAUAAAUAUAGCUGCAAGCAGCGAUGGCGGGCUCAAGCCACCAAUGCCAUCGCCACCCCGGUGGCAUCAGGUAAACUGUGCCCAGCGGGCACAUGCAUUCACAAUAUCCCUCUGGCAGUGAGGUUUUAAAGGAUAUGGCAGUUAAAGGGUUAAUCCGAAUCAUCUAGACUUUAAAAUCACAUUCACAGAACAAUAUAUAUAUAUAACUUUAGUAACACUUUACAAUAAGAUUCCAUUUAUAAACAUUGUGUUAACAUGAACAAUAUUUAUAUAGCAUUCAUUCAUGUCAGUUAAUAUUCCAAACUUAAACAUUAAAACAUUGUUUUAUUGUGAUUUUUUUCCAAGCACAUUUUACCAAUUCCAAACCAUAUCAAUCUUAAUAACUACCAUUAUUUUUUAUUUAAUCAUUUAUGAGUGCUAUACAAUAGUCCAGGAAAGCUGGAAGAGAAAAACAGGUCAAGAAGAACUGACAAAAAGAAUUGCAAAAUAAUUAGGAAAUAAUGUGAAGAUUAAUUUUUAGUCAAUUCUGCAAGACAGACUUUCAGGAAAGGAGGUGGAAUAAAAAUGAGCUCCUAAAUCUUAAUCCCGGAUUCUGGAAGAUAUAUUCCUCAAACCAUCGGACAAGAGGAGGUGGUGCUGGUCCUUCACAAGUCACUCUAAUCUGUUCAUAAAGCCUAUAUAUAAAGUCUUAAUAUAUAGUAUUUCACAAUACUUCAUGGUAUUCUAAUUAAAUCAUUUUUUGGAAUCUUUGAUCUUUCAGAACCUGACACAUUGUAAUUCUGAGACUCCAGGAAAGUGGCAGUUCUGUAAAAUGUUGGCACUGGAGACUAAAUGCUCCCUGAUAGUUUCACACCUAAUUCACUUAACACACACACAAACACACACACACACACACAUUACCCACAGUGACAGAGGGACAGAGUGACAUCAGAUCUAUGAUAGUUUUUUAAUUUUCUAUUAUCCAUAUAGUGUUGUAUAGUCAUGAAACUAUGCAUAUUUCCUAAGAAUGACUUGUCUUCUAUGUGUACAUUUUUUUGAAGUGUUUAGAAGCUGCACUUAAAAAAAUAAAAGACAUUUACUGGUUACUUUUUUACUGUUAUUUCAAAAAAUCACCACGACAAAACCAUUCAAGCUAUCCAAAAUUCAUUCGCACCUGUACUGUAAGAUACAUUCUUUAAACAGUGGUAAAAGAGGAUGUGGUGCUGAUCCUUCAAGAGUCACUCAAAACUUAUCUGUCCAUAAAGAAUUAUUCUUAAUAUACAGUUCACAAUACUUCAGCUUGUUAUUCUAAUAAAGUGAGGGUCAUUUUAUCAGUAAAAUACAUAAAAUUCAUAUUAUUUUUCUUUGAAAGAUUUCUAUAAAUGAUUUAAAUCAUACUUGUUUCUACAAUAAUUAUUUAAAAGUGAUCAUAUAGCUCCAUCUGGUGGCCAUUAUUGGUACUAAGAAUUGCAAGCUUGAUUUAUAUGUUAUGAUAGUUUUAAUUUUAUGCUGGCUCUU